GGUUAAGCGACUAAGCGUACACGGUGGAUGCCCUGGCAGUCAGAGGCGAUGAAGGACGUGCUAAUCUGCGAUAAGCGUCGGUAAGGUGAUAUGAACCGUUAUAACCGGCGAUUUCCGAAUGGGGAAACCCAGUGUGUUUCGACACACUAUCAUUAACUGAAUCCAUAGGUUAAUGAGGCGAACCGGGGGAACUGAAACAUCUAAGUACCCCGAGGAAAAGAAAUCAACCGAGAUUCCCCCAGUAGCGGCGAGCGAACGGGGAGCAGCCCAGAGCCUGAAUCAGUGUGUGUGUUAGUGGAAGCGUCUGGAAAGGCGCGCGAUACAGGGUGACAGCCCCGUACACAAAAAUGCACAUGCUGUGAGCUCGAUGAGUAGGGCGGGACACGUGGUAUCCUGUCUGAAUAUGGGGGGACCAUCCUCCAAGGCUAAAUACUCCUGACUGACCGAUAGUGAACCAGUACCGUGAGGGAAAGGCGAAAAGAACCCCGGCGAGGGGAGUGAAAAAGAACCUGAAACCGUGUACGUACAAGCAGUGGGAGCACGCUUAGGCGUGUGACUGCGUACCUUUUGUAUAAUGGGUCAGCGACUUAUAUUCUGUAGCAAGGUUAACCGAAUAGGGGAGCCGAAGGGAAACCGAGUCUUAACUGGGCGUUAAGUUGCAGGGUAUAGACCCGAAACCCGGUGAUCUAGCCAUGGGCAGGUUGAAGGUUGGGUAACACUAACUGGAGGACCGAACCGACUAAUGUUGAAAAAUUAGCGGAUGACUUGUGGCUGGGGGUGAAAGGCCAAUCAAACCGGGAGAUAGCUGGUUCUCCCCGAAAGCUAUUUAGGUAGCGCCUCGUGAAUUCAUCUCCGGGGGUAGAGCACUGUUUCGGCAAGGGGGUCAUCCCGACUUACCAACCCGAUGCAAACUGCGAAUACCGGAGAAUGUUAUCACGGGAGACACACGGCGGGUGCUAACGUCCGUCGUGAAGAGGGAAACAACCCAGACCGCCAGCUAAGGUCCCAAAGUCAUGGUUAAGUGGGAAACGAUGUGGGAAGGCCCAGACAGCCAGGAUGUUGGCUUAGAAGCAGCCAUCAUUUAAAGAAAGCGUAAUAGCUCACUGGUCGAGUCGGCCUGCGCGGAAGAUGUAACGGGGCUAAACCAUGCACCGAAGCUGCGGCAGCGACGCUUAUGCGUUGUUGGGUAGGGGAGCGUUCUGUAAGCCUGUGAAGGUGUGCUGUGAGGCAUGCUGGAGGUAUCAGAAGUGCGAAUGCUGACAUAAGUAACGAUAAAGCGGGUGAAAAGCCCGCUCGCCGGAAGACCAAGGGUUCCUGUCCAACGUUAAUCGGGGCAGGGUGAGUCGACCCCUAAGGCGAGGCCGAAAGGCGUAGUCGAUGGGAAACAGGUUAAUAUUCCUGUACUUGGUGUUACUGCGAAGGGGGGACGGAGAAGGCUAUGUUGGCCGGGCGACGGUUGUCCCGGUUUAAGCGUGUAGGCUGGUUUUCCAGGCAAAUCCGGAAAAUCAAGGCUGAGGCGUGAUGACGAGGCACUACGGUGCUGAAGCAACAAAUGCCCUGCUUCCAGGAAAAGCCUCUAAGCAUCAGGUAACAUCAAAUCGUACCCCAAACCGACACAGGUGGUCAGGUAGAGAAUACCAAGGCGCUUGAGAGAACUCGGGUGAAGGAACUAGGCAAAAUGGUGCCGUAACUUCGGGAGAAGGCACGCUGAUAUGUAGGUGAAGUCCCUCGCGGAUGGAGCUGAAAUCAGUCGAAGAUACCAGCUGGCUGCAACUGUUUAUUAAAAACACAGCACUGUGCAAACACGAAAGUGGACGUAUACGGUGUGACGCCUGCCCGGUGCCGGAAGGUUAAUUGAUGGGGUCAGCGCAAGCGAAGCUCUUGAUCGAAGCCCCGGUAAACGGCGGCCGUAACUAUAACGGUCCUAAGGUAGCGAAAUUCCUUGUCGGGUAAGUUCCGACCUGCACGAAUGGCGUAAUGAUGGCCAGGCUGUCUCCACCCGAGACUCAGUGAAAUUGAACUCGCUGUGAAGAUGCAGUGUACCCGCGGCAAGACGGAAAGACCCCGUGAACCUUUACUAUAGCUUGACACUGAACAUUGAGCCUUGAUGUGUAGGAUAGGUGGGAGGCUUAGAAGUGUGGACGCCAGUCUGCAUGGAGCCGACCUUGAAAUACCACCCUUUAAUGUUUGAUGUUCUAACGUUGACCCGUAAUCCGGGUUGCGGACAGUGUCUGGUGGGUAGUUUGACUGGGGCGGUCUCCUCCUAAAGAGUAACGGAGGAGCACGAAGGUUGGCUAAUCCUGGUCGGACAUCAGGAGGUUAGUGCAAUGGCAUAAGCCAGCUUGACUGCGAGCGUGACGGCGCGAGCAGGUGCGAAAGCAGGUCAUAGUGAUCCGGUGGUUCUGAAUGGAAGGGCCAUCGCUCAACGGAUAAAAGGUACUCCGGGGAUAACAGGCUGAUACCGCCCAAGAGUUCAUAUCGACGGCGGUGUUUGGCACCUCGAUGUCGGCUCAUCACAUCCUGGGGCUGAAGUAGGUCCCAAGGGUAUGGCUGUUCGCCAUUUAAAGUGGUACGCGAGCUGGGUUUAGAACGUCGUGAGACAGUUCGGUCCCUAUCUGCCGUGGGCGCUGGAGAACUGAGGGGGGCUGCUCCUAGUACGAGAGGACCGGAGUGGACGCAUCACUGGUGUUCGGGUUGUCAUGCCAAUGGCACUGCCCGGUAGCUAAAUGCGGAAGAGAUAAGUGCUGAAAGCAUCUAAGCACGAAACUUGCCACGAGAUGAGUUCUCCCUGACCCUUUAAGGGUCCUGAAGGAACGUUGAAGACGACGACGUUGAUAGGCCGGGUGUGUAAGCGCAGCGAUGCGUUGAGCUAACCGGUACUAAUGAACCGUGAGGCUUAACCUU
RNAcentral lists this ribosomal RNA (2904 nucleotides) under Escherichia coli. Its description in RNAcentral is "23S ribosomal RNA". It matches the Rfam family "Bacterial large subunit ribosomal RNA". The record is from RNAcentral. Lineage: Bacteria; Pseudomonadati; Pseudomonadota; Gammaproteobacteria; Enterobacterales; Enterobacteriaceae.